RNAcentral lists this microRNA precursor (189 nucleotides) under Oryza rufipogon (brownbeard rice). RNAcentral describes it as "MIR812 microRNA precursor family". It matches the Rfam family "MIR812 microRNA precursor family". The record is from Rfam by way of RNAcentral. Lineage: Eukaryota; Viridiplantae; Streptophyta; Magnoliopsida; Poales; Poaceae.
AAUAAGUGCAGUCGUGGAUAUCUGUGUCCAAUGUUUGACCGUCCGUCUUAUUUAAAAAAUAUAAAAAAGUUAGUCACACAUAAAGUAUUAUUCAUGUUUUAUCAUCUAAUAACCAUAAAAAUACUAAUAAAAAAAAAUUUAAAUAAGAUGAACGGUCAAACGUUGGAUAUAAAUAGUGCAAAACUUACA